CUCUCGAUAGCUUAGUUGGUAAAGCAUUAGACUGUAACUGUUCAUUCUGGAUAUUGAUAUCUAAGGAUCGGGUGUUCGACUCACCCUCGGGAGA
Molecule: transfer RNA, 94 nt
Organism: Candida albicans SC5314
Lineage: Eukaryota; Fungi; Ascomycota; Pichiomycetes; Serinales; Debaryomycetaceae
Rfam family: tRNA
About the family: Transfer RNA (tRNA) molecules are approximately 80 nucleotides in length. Their secondary structure includes four short double-helical elements and three loops (D, anti-codon, and T loops).
Source: Rfam